Lycium ferocissimum is the source of this 1353-nucleotide long non-coding RNA. RefSeq lists it as uncharacterized. Lineage: Eukaryota; Viridiplantae; Streptophyta; Magnoliopsida; Solanales; Solanaceae. The record is from RefSeq and is a predicted model, not a curated record. The transcript has 3 exons.
AACAUGAGUUCAACAAAUAGACUGUGUUAUCUCUUAACUUGCUGCCUGAAUUUAUCGUUUUAAAGGGGUAACCAAGUUAUCUCUUGACUCGCUCAACAAAUAGAGUAUGUUAUCUCUUAAUAGACUGUUUCUUCAAAUUUCAAUACUUGGGAUCAAAAUAAGAACUUGACUAGCUGCUGAGACCUUUAUUUGGUCCGACUCAUAACUCAUUUCCUUUUUAUGAUGAAUUUCUAGUUUCUUAAUCCUGGGUAUAAGCUCUCUAUGGUUCUCUUCGGUUGCUGUCAUUUGCCAAUAAUUGUUAUUGUGAUUUACUACUUAAAUUAACAUAUACUUACUGAAAGCUUUCUUGGGUUGGCAGGACCACCUAGCACUAAUGAUGGAGCUUCUAGGAACAAUGCCCCCGAAAGUAAGAGAAAGUACCUUUAACCACUUCAAACUUCUUACACUUGUAUGCGUCAGCCAUCCAGAGAUGCCAUGCGACGCCUCACCAAAUUAUGGCGCCUGGAUAUUGAUGGCUGCCUAGAGUUAGAAGAAAGUUGCAGCAAUCGGAGUGGCCCAAACUUCCAGUGGCCCAACAUUUCCCAUAUUCCAAAAAUUGAAGUAGGUGGGAGGAGAAUUCAGAACUUAGAACGUUGCUGUGGUAUAUCAAGUCAAAAUCCACGGGCUGCACUUUAGGGUUGGUUAUAUUCCACAGAAGAACCACCACGUUUGUUUUGUUGAAGAACAGGCUCUUUCAUGAGCAUUUGGUAAAGACUACAUAAUAUCUCAACAUUUUACUCUUCAUAAUGGUUGGAUACCAACAAAUAACUAAGUAAUGAUUAUCGAGUAUACAAAGUUGCUCAUUUGACAAAGUGAAACUAUUUUUCUCUAUUCUUUUCCGUUGUUUCUUUUGAUAAAAUAUAAACUUUUUUCAGAUUUGAUGAAAAUAGAAAACAAUUAACUCAUUUUAAGUAUUUUGGCUGAAUGAUGAAUGAGUAGUUCAACCAACAAGUACCAUGUCCUUCUCUUAUGAUGCUUCAACUGCUUGGUGCAAAUUUAUGUACUGUUCUAGACUUUUCUUUUAGAUUUUUCACCUUAAACGUAUUUUUCUUCUUGGUUUUCUUCUUUCCUUUUUGAUCGGUGCACUACAAUGACUUGAACGCAUUGCCGAAGGUCGCUUUAAAGUUUGGGUACUGAACAACCUUUUGUUGAAACAAAUAGAAAGCUCUACAUACAAGAAACAUCAAAAAAUAAAAGCAUAUAGGAUAUUUAACUUAUUUUAAUGUUAAGAUGACUCUAGACUAGUAGCACUAUAUAAGUUAUAAUUGAGUUUCGGCGCUUGGACCAAAGAAAUUAUUUGUACGUCUAUUCAAG